UACUUCAGCGAUUACAGCAGCCUCCAUGAGGAAAACCUGAACAAGAAGGCUUGUUUAUCAAAAACCUUCAUCUCCGUUUAGUACUCUCAAUCUUUCAGUAUCUCUGUAUCUCGCUCUCAAUCUCUCUUCCUCUUUAUCGAAGAAGAUUCAUUAAAAUCAACAACAAGAUGAAGAACUGGUUGCUUAAUGGGUUCUUGUAAUAUCCUUUGAGUUUUGUUCAAAAUCAAUACUUCUAUUUAGCGAUUUUAGAGCUGAUUGUUUAGGUUUUGAUCUUGUUUUUGAUUAAUGUUGUUUGUUUGGAGCGACAAAGAAAGCCUAAAAUCCAGAACACAGAUUCCUCUUCAAACAUCAUCAUCAAUAGCUGAAGAUGAUCAAGAUAUGUGUGAUUGAGGGUUCCCAAACUUUGGAAUUUAUGUGAUGAUCUUUAUUUUCUAAACUGUUUUUUGAGGAUUUGCAUGGGGAAUUUAGCCAGUGAAAAAUCAAUACUACAAAUAUUUGAUGGGGAUGAUUUUGUUGACAGAACAACCAGAAUCUCAAGGUGGUGUUGUUGCUAAGAAGGAAAAUUAUACUACUUCAUGUAAGGUUUAACUCUAAAUAUUGCUUCUCAUACAACUUUCACUUACCUAGAGACGAGAGCUAGUUGUUGCCGCAAAUAAGUUCAAAGAAGAAUGUGCUUUUGGUGAAGGAGGUUUUGGAGGUGUAUAUAAGAGUUAUCUUGAAACACUGGUCAGGAAGGAGUCUAAGAAGGCAAUAAAUUUACUAGUAAAGGACUUGAAGGUGUUUGAAACGUUUGAGGAGAAGGUGUGUGCGCAUAUGACUGGACUCUUGGAGUUUGAUAACUUCAGGGAAAAUGAGCAUUUUAAAAUGUAUGUCAAUGAAAAUGAUGCACGUGUAACUUUGUUUGAUGCAGCCGAAAAAUUGAUUCAAGCUAAUCCACUUUUGAAUGACUAGUUAAAUUUUUCAACCCUUAAGGAGUUGAGGCUGCAAUCUCUCGUUAAGCAGAGGUUAUGCAUAUCGUAACCUAGAAAACAUGACAUUCGCAGCCAACCAUUGCAAUCUCAAGAAGGUUAACACCUUGUGUAUAUCUCUGCAGGAAGUGUUGGUCACCUUCAAAAAGCCGUAGGAUCCGGGAGAGGGCUGAUGCCCUAGAUGCUGCUGGAAACACCACUGCUGCUAUUGAAAAGGGGUUUGCCAUUGGAUCGGAUGUUCUUUUGUAUCUCUUGUACUUUUGGUGCCUUGGUGAGUUGUCCAUCUAUUUAAAGUGUGGAUGUUCUUAUGACAAUCAUGUAAGCACAAUUCUGUGAAAUUUAAAGUAUUAUUAUUACAGUUUAUUUCAAGUACGAAAGCUUUGUGCCAUUAUUCCCUAACAUCGACUGAAUUUCCUUAUGCGUAUUUGACAAAUUGAUAAUUUCCUUAUGUGUAUUCUGAAUUUCCUUUGUACUUGACUAUAAUUAAGGUUUUAACCUUCAAUUGUACACUUUCUUGCGAGGUACAACGCUUAUCAAAUUGCUACUGGAUUAUGUUGUUGGUGACCUUCAUCUGGUGACGUUCAAAGAACUAGAGUCAUCUAAGAAUGCUUGUGAAUAAGCUACACCCAUGAUUACUGGCUAUAGAGCUAAUUGUAACCUGUAUUCACUAGGUGCACAUCAUCCUAGGGUGAUUACUUACGCUGCAUCGAACCAACAAGGUACAAAGAGUCAUCUUCUUGUAUCUAGAAGUUAGUGUACCUUCUUGUAUCUAGAAGUUAUGAAUCAUCUGAAAGUUGAACUCACCAUGAACCUAAGUAUCAUUGAUGUAAGGACCCUCAAACUCGUCAACGCUAUUAUACUAGUCAAGAGAUGUAUUAGCCGAUAAUAACUCGAUUAGCUUAACAUGGAGGUUAAUCAAUAGGAAUUAAUAUUACAACGAUCUAGAUACGAAAUUAGUGCCGCUGGAUAGAUCUCGAAAAGUUAUGCGAAAUGGACUACUCAAACGCGUCAUUCGGACACCGGACAAAGAAGAUAUCUUCAGAUAUGUACGAAGGGUAAAAUUAUCAUUAUUCAUCAUAACCGCUUGGCUUCCCAUAUCAUUUGGGUAGGUGCAUUUAUCAAUUGUCUUUGUCCUUAUCAAAACCGAUCGAGCAUAUAAGCUCAUUCACUUCUUUUCCUUCUCUUUCUUCUUCUUCAUUCUUUUCUCUUCCUCCUCUCCGUUCUUCACCUGCAGGUGAAUCAAGUUAUUGAAAUAAAGAGAUUUUUAUAUUGAGAGAGAGGUGGGGAUGUUUGACUAUUGGUUGCUGUUGGUGGUGCUGUUAUUGGUUAGCUCUGAGAAGAAGAGGAGAUGUUGAUGCUGCUGUAAAUUAGAAUUAGGGUUUUCUCAGAAGGUUGUUUAGGAAUUACGAUUAGUGGUGAAUAAGAAGAAAUAAGGAGUGGGUUUAUUCGAUUGAGAGAAGAGUUGAAGUUCAAUUAAAGUUUGAAGUUGUUUUGCAGACUAUAUGAGAAUUAGGGUUGUGUUCUGUUCUUUCCCAAAUUAAGAAUUAGGGUUUUGUUAAAGCAGUUGAGAAAUCAGAUGAGAUAAAAUAUGGUUUUGGUUGAUUAAGUGGGUUAGAAUCAAGAGCAUAUGAUGAUGUUGGUGUUGAUUCGGGAGUUGGUUCAGUUCAGAAAUUGGAGUAAGAGGUAAAUUAGAAUUCUUAGAUUUAUUUUCUUUUGUUUAUGUUUAGUGAAUUCGAUAAUUAAUUGUUUCAUGGUUAAAUUGAAGUUAGAUGGAGUACAUGGAGUUCCGGUUUUGGUUUAUUUGUGAAAUCAAGCGUCAUAAUUAGGAUUUAUGUGGAUCAUUUGGGAAUACAAAUUUAAGGUUGUUGAUAAAGGAGUGGGGUUGUGUUGAGAUAACUAAAUAUGCUUAUGUUAUUGUUGUGUGUUUUGAUGAUACUAAACCUGAAGAACAUAGAGUUGUGGUGUUGUUAGUGAGAACAUGGCAGCUAGAGGAGUAAUCUGGUGGUGGUUCAGAUAUUGAGCUUAAUAGAUGAGCCAUGAGUCUCUGGCGGUGAUUGUAGGGUUAUAUGAAUGGAUGUGCAGUGUUGUUAUAGUUGAAUAUAUGUAUAUUUGAAUUGAGAUUUCAGAGCAGAAGAUGAGUUACAGGGAGGUAGGUUGAACGUUGUUGGUGGUGAUGGAUAUAUGGGUGGAGUUAUAGUUGAAUGUCAGGUUCUGGGAGUUGUAAAUGAAAUCAAAUUGGUAGUGUUGUUGGAAUUAGAAGUGUGAUGGUUUGGUACUGCUAACGGGGGGUAUGUGGUUGUGAGUUGAAUUGGUGGUUUAGAUGACUUGUAUUGAUGAAGCUGAGAUUGUGCUUAGUUUAGUAGUGAUUAUAAAAUUGUAGAAUGUAUUCCUGUGAAAGCUUGGAAGCUUGCAACUACAGCAAUUGUAGGUAAUCAAAGUUGUUGUUGUAAAUGAUUUAUGAAGUUUAAGUUAAGGUUAUGUAUUGUUGUGUUGAUUGAUUGUUAGAACUGAUUUGAGAUAAAUAUUGAUAUUGUUAGAAAAGGGAUGGAAUGAAGUCUGUAGUAGAGCUUUGGUCUGUCUGACUGAGCUUAUUCAGUCUGACUCAGAUUAUUUCUCGUCUGACUCAGUAUCUGACUCAGCUGAAUCGUAUUGACCACUGAGUUACCUGAGUUGACUCAGUUAACCGAUUUAGACUUGAUCAUUGACCCUGGACUUUGACUCCGUCGACUGUUAGUUGACCUUUUUGACU
Papaver somniferum (opium poppy) is the source of this 3717-nucleotide long non-coding RNA. RefSeq lists it as uncharacterized. The transcript is spliced from 10 exons. The record is from RefSeq and is a predicted model, not a curated record. Lineage: Eukaryota; Viridiplantae; Streptophyta; Magnoliopsida; Ranunculales; Papaveraceae.